RNAcentral lists this ribosomal RNA (254 nucleotides) under uncultured bacterium. Its description in RNAcentral is "partial 16S ribosomal RNA". It matches the Rfam family "Bacterial small subunit ribosomal RNA", at positions 524 to 776 of the family's 1533-position model. The record is from RNAcentral.
GACGUAGGGCGCGAGCGUUGUCCGGAUUUAUUGGGCGUAAAGAGCGUGUAAGCGGCCAUACAGGUCAGCUGUGAAAACUCGAGGCUCAACCUCGAGACGUCGGUUGAAACCGUAUGGCUAGAGUCCGGAAGAGGAGAGUGGAAUUCCCGGUGUAGCGGUGAAAUGCGUAGAUAUCUGGAGGAACACCGGUGGCGAAGGCGGCAUCCUGGACCACGACUGACGCUGAGCGAGCGAAAGCCAGGGGAGCAAACGGG